Molecule: long non-coding RNA, 993 nt
Organism: Danio aesculapii
Lineage: Eukaryota; Metazoa; Chordata; Actinopteri; Cypriniformes; Danionidae
Exons: 7
Source: RefSeq, a predicted model, not a curated record
UUUCUCAGCUCCACUCUGUGCAGCGUGCAGAGCUUCAAGGCGUGUGACUGAAAACUUGGGAAUUCUGUUAUCAAGAUGUCAUUGGAGGCCCAUUAUAACAAACAUGCAAAAUGGUUUUGGGUGACAUUUUAUGGUCCUCCUGUGAACUGAAGUUUUCAGGCACCAGAAUGAGAAAUGGUAUCAGACCUGGGAGUGUAUUCAUAAACUUCCUGUUUUCUUCUAAGAAAACUUGAUAAGUGUUUUGGGAAAUCUGAGGUCUAUCCCGACUGGCCCCUCUCAGUAGGGCUUAGUCGUUGGAAAUGCCUCAAAGAUAAAGUCUGUAGUAUCGCUUUACCCAUGUUGCUAAUUUCAUUAGCUUUGUGGGAAAAACACUGCAGUACAUUCAAUUAGAAUAAAGCAUAUAUUUUAAUUUGUGGAAGAGCAACAUCUCAUCUGUAAAUUUCCACUCUGUAGGUGUGAUCAGAUGAACGUCCACUAGAUGGCACAGCACCCGUCUUCAUGCUGACGGAGGAUUGUUGGAGCUCCCAAAUGGCUGGACUGAAAAAUGAAUGGAGGGCUCCAAUCUUGCACAGUGCUACAGUUUGAAAAAAAUGGAAGCGUUUCCUUACCAGACUUUUCCACGAAGGUGAGAGCCAAUCCACAUCUUUGGAUCACUUUCAAAGGGGGUCAGCCACUUCUCAUCACUGGCGAUCCUUAACGCUGUGAUCCCACAUCAGUGCCCUGUGAGACCUUUUGCAGGUCUUUUUGCUACAUGAAAUGCCUGCUGUCUUUAGGGCAACACUUUAAUUAUAAGCAGUUUCAGACCUGUUGUGUUGGCAUUUUAAAUCUGAACGCUGCUUCACUUUUGUUUUAAACAGCUGGUGAGGCGUUUGUGCUGUACUGGAAGCCAUAAACCUUACCUUUGUGGUGAUGUAGGUUUGAUUAAAGUAAUGUAUUAGUGUUUGUGUACCACGAAUGUAGUAAUUAUUACAAUAAAGAUCCUGUCAUAGAGAA